Poecilia latipinna (sailfin molly) is the source of this 192-nucleotide long non-coding RNA. RefSeq lists it as uncharacterized. NCBI's taxonomy places the organism in Eukaryota, Metazoa, Chordata, Actinopteri, Cyprinodontiformes, Poeciliidae. The transcript has 3 exons. The record is from RefSeq and is a predicted model, not a curated record.
GAUCGGAGCGAAACUCAGCCACAUGGGGAACACGGAGGUUACAGAUGACAGAAAGACAGCUCCAGAAGGACAAAAGAGGCUCAGGAGACCAUCAAAACUAAAGAAGAGAUACAAGACAUUCAAUUCUAACUGGGGGACCAGGGAGAAAUGCUGCAUUUUAAAUGAAGGGGAGGGGGAAAAAUCAUUUUGGAG